UAGCUGGUCCCUCCGAAGUUCCCUCAGGAUAGCUAGAGUCUUUAUCAGUUUUGUCAGGUAAAGCGAAUGAUUAGAGGUUCGGGGGAAGUAACUUCCUCGACCUAUUCUCAAACUUUAAAUGGGCAAGAUCCAGUAGUUACUUAAUUGAACUAUUGGGGUCAAUGAGACGACUCUAAGUGGGCCAUUUUUGGUAAGCAGAACUGGCGAUGAGGGAUGAACCUAACGCUCGGUUAAGGUGCUAAACUGCUCGCUCAUCAGAUACCACAAAGGGUGUUGGUCGAUCUUAACAGCAGGACGGUGGUCAUGGAAGUCGAAAUCCGCUAAGGAGUGUGUAACAACUCACCUGCCGAAUCGACUAGCCCCGAAAAUGGAUAGCGCUGAAGCGAGUGACCGAUACCGGGCCAUUGUUGCAAGAUAAUUGGCAACAAUGAGUAGGAGGGCGUGGGGGUUGUGAAGAAGCUUGGACGUGAGUCUGAGUGAAACAGCUUCCAGUGCAGAUCUUGGUGGUAGUAGCAAGUAUUCAAUAAGAGAACAUUGAAGGCCGAAGUGGGGAAGGGUUCCAUGUGAACAGCACUUGGACAUGGGUUAGCCGAUCCUGAGAGACAGGUUAAAUUCCAUCGGAUUGGAGCUUUGGCUCUGUUUCUCGAAAGGGAAGCUGGUUAGUAUUCCAGCGCCGAGACGUGGAUAAUAUGUGGCAACACAAGUGAACUCGGACACGCCAUAGGGGACCCCAGGAAGCGUUGUCUUUUCUUUUUAACAGUUCGACUUACCCUGGAAUCAGAUCAUCUGGAGAUAGGGUUUUCGAACUGGAAUAGCACCUUGUCUAACAGGGUGUCUGGAGUGUUCUCGCUGGCCCUUGAAAAUCCGAGGGAUAGAUUUAUUCGCACUCUCGAUCGUACCCAUAACCGCAUCAGGUCUCCAAGGUUAGAAGCCUCUGGUCCGUAGGACAAAGUAGAUAAGGGAAGUCGGCAAAAUAGGUCCGUAACUUCGGGAAAAGGACUGGCUCUGAGGUUUGGUAUGUGGAACCUGGAUUAAUCGUUGGAGUCG
RNAcentral lists this non-coding RNA (1047 nucleotides) under Perkinsus marinus ATCC 50983. RNAcentral describes it as "Eukaryotic large subunit ribosomal RNA". It matches the Rfam family "Eukaryotic large subunit ribosomal RNA", at positions 948 to 1996 of the family's 3401-position model. The record is from Rfam by way of RNAcentral. Lineage: Eukaryota; Perkinsozoa; Perkinsida; Perkinsidae.